UUAAGCAUAUCAAUUAGCGGAGGAAAAGUACCAACUGGGAUUGCCUUAGUAACGGCGAGUGAAGCGGCAAAAGCUCAAAUUUGAUAUCUGGUACCUUUGGUGCCCGAGUUGUAAUUUGUAGAGUACCACUUUGGGACUAUACUUUGCCUAUGUUCCUUGGAACAGGACGUCAUGGAGGGUGAGAAUCCCGUGUGGCGAGGGUGUUAGUUCUUUGUAAAGGGUGCUCGAAGAGUCGAGUUGUUUGGGAAUGCAGCUCUAAGUGGGUGGUAAAUUCCAUCUAAAGCUAAAUACAGGCGAGAGACCGAUAGCGAACAAGUACAGUGAUGGAAAGAUGAAAAGAACUUUGAAAAGAGAGUGAAAAAGUACGUGAAAUUGUUGAAAGGGAAGGGCAUUUGAUCAGACAUGGCUGCUUUUCGCCCCCCUGCUCCUUGUGGGCGGGGGGACUCUCGAGGGCAGCUGGGCCAGCAUCAGUUUUUGCGGUGCGACAAAACUCCGGGAAUGUAGCUGUCUGCUUCUGUGGGCAUGUGUUAUAGACCGGGGGAAUAGCGCCAGCGGGGACUGAGGACUGCGAUACUUGUUAUCUAGGAUGCUGGCAUG
This 597-nucleotide ribosomal RNA is filed under the name Nakaseomyces delphensis. Its description in RNAcentral is "eukaryotic LSU rRNA". It matches the Rfam family "Eukaryotic large subunit ribosomal RNA", at positions 34 to 633 of the family's 3401-position model. Lineage: Eukaryota; Fungi; Ascomycota; Saccharomycetes; Saccharomycetales; Saccharomycetaceae. The record is from RNAcentral.